GGCUCAGGAUGAACGCUAGCGACAGGCCUAACACAUGCAAGUCGAGGGCAGCACAAGGAGCAAUCUGAGGUGGCGACCGGCGCACGGGUGAGUAACACGUAUGCAACCUGCCUGUAAGCGGGGAAUAACCCGUUGAAAGACGGACUAAUACCGCAUAAUACUAAAUUACUGCAUGGUAAUUUAUUUAAACAUUUAUGGCUUACAGAUGGGCAUGCGCAUGAUUAGCUAGUUGGAGAGGUAACGGCUCCCCAAGGCAACGAUCAUUAGGGGUUCUGAGAGGAAGGUCCCCCCACACUGGUACUGAGACACGGACCAGACUCCUACGGGAGGCAGCAGUGAGGAAUAUUGGUCAAUGGACGAGAGUCUGAACCAGCCAAGUCGCGUGCAGGAAGAAUUGUCCUAUGGAUUGUAAACUGCUUUUGCAGGGGAAUAAAGUGCAUCACGUGUGAUGUUUUGUAUGUACUCUGCGAAUAAGGAUCGGCUAACUCCGUGCCAGCCGCGGC
Molecule: ribosomal RNA, 503 nt
Filed under: uncultured bacterium
Lineage: Bacteria
Description: bacterial SSU rRNA
Rfam family: Bacterial small subunit ribosomal RNA
Source: RNAcentral